UUUUUUUCUAUUGAUGUAUAAAACUAUAGUACAUACCUCAAAUCUUCUGCACCUAUAAAAAUUGUUUUUUCCAAGUCUUAAUUUAGAAUUCUUCUACCUCAAGUAGAAGAAUAUAAUAAGAGUAUGUUUCAUUUACUUUAUAUACUUCCUUUUAAAAAUCUGUUAGGAUGAAACAAUUACAGAAUCCUAUGUGUGUAAAAAAUUAAUAUGAUAUAUAUAAAGCCAUAUCAGAUAUUUUAAAAUUAACUCCAUUAUAUUACGAAUUCAAAUUCUAUCAGAAAGUAAUUAUAGCAAAUGGCACAGAAAAGCUAAAAAUCACUGUCUUCAUUUUAACCCUCUACUACAAUGGGCCCUUUUUCCCCCUUAUAAACUACAUAUAAUCAAUACCUUUGGUUAACAAUUCAAAAAAAAAGACACAAGUUGGCUACUCUUUUACUACAACUUUAUUGAAAACAUAUGGCUCUCCCUACCAAAAAUGAAUUCUCCUUAAAAACAAUUUCAGGUCAGGUGCAGUGGCUCAAGCCUGUGAUCCCAGCACGUUGGCAGGCUGAGGCAAGCAGAACGCCUGAGGUCUGAAGUUCAAGACCAGCCUGGCCAACAUACUCAAAGCAAACCUAAUUUCCAUAAAUAAACUCAAACAACUUCACAGCACCAGGGAAGCCUGGGCGAGCUGGCUCCCUAGAACUAAAGGUACCUGCAACCGUGGUGUUCGUUUUAAAUUCAGUUUUGCACACAUAUCUUUCUACAAGCAACUGCAAAGCUCCCAAGAUUUAGGAACACAUCCAAGUUAAUAAGAAGGCAUUUCACAAGUAGGAACUGCCUGACACUGCCUCUCAGCAUUAGCAAAUGAGGGGAAAGUUCACCACAUGCAAGGGAAAGCCAACCACGCGACCAUGGGCACGUUCAUAACUCCUGCAACUGCUCACACCCCAAACCAGACAGACAACACCCAGGACACUGCUGUACAUCUUACAAAAUACCAGUUCUUGCUUAAGUCCCACCAGACCCAAGAAAAAGAGCCCAGUCCAACCCCAAAUUCGGCCAUGAGUACCAACAGCCAUAUGGACAGAGCCAAAUGCUCUAAGAACAGUGAAGGAUGCAAGCUACAAAUCACAACACAGAAAGCACACCCUCAUAUGCCUAGGCGCUGGCCACCCCGCUAUUUCAAAGGCAGAAUGCCAGACGACCAAGGUCCGGCCGGCUGGGACCCUUCACCGACCCUGUAGCCGCUACAGGCCCCUUGACGCUGUAACGACGGCAAAUCCCAAUGUUAACCCGUCAGGCUGCUCGCCCACCUUCCAGGAACACAACUAACAGACCCUUGGCAACCUGGGGGGCUGUUGGUGGCCUUCUAACGGGACCGACAGCCCCCCCAAACCCUCCGAAAGGCAGAAACCCUCAACUCCCUGCUUCGGAGACG
This 1420-nucleotide long non-coding RNA is filed under the name Macaca fascicularis (crab-eating macaque). Its description in RNAcentral is "lncRNA (ENSMFAG00000065558.1)". The record is from RNAcentral. Lineage: Eukaryota; Metazoa; Chordata; Mammalia; Primates; Cercopithecidae.